CUGGGAUGUCCGCCGAGCCGAGAUUAGCUAUUCAACAGUUUGGCUGUGUCCACCGCACUAAGUCAGCGCUCCCAAAUUCAAUUUUCUUUGUUCCAGUUUGGCCGGAGAAAAGCAGUAGGCAUUUAUUGUCGCAGAAAAGAUUGAGUAUUUCUGUAGAACUCGUUAUGAUAUUUGCAAGUCAUCGUCGCUCCUUGAAAACAGUUGAUACCACCGCAUAUUUUUACUCUGGAUAAGGCCGCAUUGCUCUCGAUUUCACAAUGAGAUCAAUUUUAGGCUAUAAAGAACCUUUGAUCCACCCGCGAGGUACCACACUGGAGAUUUUUUCGAAGAUGUGCAUAGAACAAUUGCAAAAAGUUACCGGUCCGAAGUAGUCCUUUGAAGCCUUCCACUUCCGUCCGUCAAAUUUAUUCGGCGGAUUGUGGGUGUCCCUGUAAUCACUCACUGCAAUUCGAAUGCCACCAUCGCGCUCAGAAUGGACUAAAUUUUACCUGGAGUUGGAGGAAGGUUUCCAAAGAGGGACAAUUGUUGUGCGCAAUUGGACCACCAAAAGGAGUCUCGAAAUCGAGGAGAAAGGGUUUGUAACAUCCAAAGGUAGUUACCAACGCCGAAAGGAACUUUUCGUCGGACGAGCGAGUCAACUGUUGACUUUGGCCCCUUUCCGGCACCAAAAUGUCUUCUUGGCCCUCUUCUUCCAUUUCUUCGGAAUUUUAUAUGGUCAUUAUUAGACCCCUGAACCCGGCAAUAGAGGCCAUGUUUGCUGGGAACCUGAUAUCUGAAGUUGAGGUUGUUAGUAAUGAAGUGAACUUGUCGCCCCCCAACUCACGCUUUUUGUUUACCCAAGCCGUGCUUUAGAAAAGGUGAAAAAAAUAUAGCAGUGUCGUAAUAACAUCCGUUGUUAACAAAAACCGUGCUAGCUAAAGCCUUAAAAAAUUCCCCUAGCUCUUUAGGGAUUUCGAUCCUAAUGGACAUUUGUUCGUUACGACCCCAUUGGUUCAAAAUCCAAUUGC
RNAcentral lists this long non-coding RNA (1007 nucleotides) under Daphnia pulicaria. RNAcentral describes it as "uncharacterized LOC124321104, transcript variant X2". The record is from RNAcentral. Lineage: Eukaryota; Metazoa; Arthropoda; Branchiopoda; Diplostraca; Daphniidae.